This is a long non-coding RNA of Mya arenaria, 3428 nucleotides long. RefSeq lists it as uncharacterized. NCBI's taxonomy places the organism in Eukaryota, Metazoa, Mollusca, Bivalvia, Myida, Myidae. The transcript is spliced from 4 exons. The record is from RefSeq and is a predicted model, not a curated record.
ACAUACCUAUUAAUCAUUGUAUCAGAUAUAUUGGACAAGACGUUUUGAACCAAAGUCAUUUUGUGUGUUAAAUACACAAAGUUGUAGUAUAAUAAUAUUAUAUAAAAAUGUAUAUAUCAAAGGAUAUGGUUGUUUAUACGGUAACAAAUGUGUUUUAUUUAAUUCUAUUUAUAAGUGAAUUUAAGGUGGCGAAUAUGAGCUAACCUUGUUCGGGGUGCGGCCCGGGCUAUUAUUGUUCAACUGACGGUGUUAGAACAGGAUGCUUAGCUUGCGAAGAUGGCUACUACAAACCUGGUUAUAAUGCAGCCACUUUCUGUAAUCCGUGUUAGACAUUUUGUCCAGGAAAUGCGCUAGUUGAAGAGCGGGAAUUUAUAUCUAAAAACUGUACAAAGGCAGAAGAUAGUGUGUGUAGUUGUAAACACGGGUUUUACCGCGAGUACAACAUGAAUGGUCUCUGUCUUAAAUGGACGGAAUGUGAUGUUGGUUUUGGAGUAAUUAUUCCAGGAAAGAAAAAAUACUACAUGAUUUGUGUCAAUAUUGUCACUAUUUGACACCUUUUUGACGUAUGUAUCUACGCCUGUGAAUGUGUCCGAUAUCCAUUUAACCAUGUGACUUGAGUUCUGGUCUGGAUACACAUAAAUUGAUGAAAAUGACUCCAAAUGUACUUUGUUCACAUGUUAAAGAUGCACUCUAACUCCCAAAAUUGAGUUUCCACUACCAAAAAUGAUGAAUAAAUGCCGAAAACAAUGGUUGAAAUGAAGGAUACCGAAACACGGCAUUUCUACCUUAUGAGACGACAGUAGAUCAUUCUUAAUCUUUUAGCACUCACCAAUCAUGUAAUAGUUUAGCGUUUCAGCUAUUAAUUACACGGUUACAAUCUUGUUAUCUGUAAUUGAUACAUAAAUUCAUUAUUUAGUAAGUAGUUUAAGGUUUGUAAUUCCAGAUUUAUGUUUAGAUUUAUGUUUGUUAUUCAUGUGUAUGUAUUGACUGUGAACAAGAGUGUCACAUUAAGUCUACAAUAAAUUAAACGGCACCGGUAUUUUAGUACUUUUUAAACCCUUUAAAGUUAAAAAGCUAUUUCUGCUUAUCAUUUGCAAUCACGAAUGAAACACGUACAUUUUCCAAUGAAGUGUAAUUAGUCCCAUAUGUUAUUAUAUCAUUAAACGCAAGGUCAAUAAAAGUCUCUUAAAUAUCAUUGACAGCUGUAGUAUUAAGAAAAUGUACAUUCUUCAUGUUAGAUAAAUCACUUAAAUCUCUCACUUCAUAAAAUCGUGCACGGUAUGUAAAUGUCUUGUUUACAAUUAUAAUGGAAGGGUUCUCAAAUUGAUUUUAAGAUAACAUGACGCGCAUAUUGAGUUUCAAAAUGGCUCAUUUGUGAUAUAUUAAUGUGUUAUAUUCAACAGGCACAGAUAUAAAUGAUGUUGUUUGUGAGCAAUGCAAGGAAUGGUUUACCUCCGAUAAGAUAUCAUCGACAGAGCAAUGUCUGAAGAAACAAACAAUUGAUUUUCGUGGAUGGGAGGUAGCUGCUUCGGGAAAAGGUUUUCCAAGUUGGGCAAUAGUUGACAGUAUUAUUGUUAUCAUGGGACUAAUCGUUGCGGUAUCUAUCUGUAGCUUUUGGAAAAGAAAAAGAAACCGAGGACAUUCGAAAGACGACGUUGGAAUAUUUGACAACUAAACAAUUCUGUGCUUAUAGUGUACGUGAUUAUUCUUAAAAUGAACAUAAACACAAGAUCGAAUUACAAGUAGAACAGAGUUGAUAUUAAACUAGUUAAUAGGGGUCAUCGUAUCAUACGAUCACUUUUUCAAAGCAGUAACCAUGUGUUGUCUUAAUAUAUGCGUUUAAACAACAGGUAAGAAUGAUGACGUAAGACAUAGUUAAUUGGAUGGUAAAAAUGAUGAUAUAGGGCAGAAAUGAUUGGAUGGUAAGAAUGAUGAGGUAGGACAGAGAUGAUUGGAUGGUAAGAGACGAUUGGAUGGUAAGAAUGAUGACGUAGGGCAGAGACGAUUGGAUGGUAGGAAUUAUUACGAAGGGCAGAGACGAUUGGGUGGUAAGAAUGAUGACGUAGGGCAGAGACGAUUGGGUGGUAAGAAUGAUGACGUAGGGCAGAGACGAUUGAAUGGGGAGAAUGAUUACGAAGGACAGAGAUUAUUGGAUGGUAAGAAUGAUGACGUAGGGCAGAGACGGUUGGAUGGUAAGAAUGAUGACGUAGGACAGAGACGAUUCGGUGGUAAGAAUGAUGACGUAGGGCAGAGACGAUUGGGUGGUAAGAAUGAUGACGUAGGGCAGAGACGAUUGGGUGGUAAGAACGAUGACGUAGGGCAGAGACGAUUGGGUGGUAAGAAUGAUGACGUAAAGAAGAGACGAUUGGGUGGUAAGAAUGAUGACGUAGGGCAGAGACGAUUGGAUGAUAAGAAUGAUGACGUAAGGCAGAGACGAUUGGAUGAUAAGAAUGAUGACGUAGGGGAGAGACGAUUGGAUGAUAAGAAUGAGGACGUAAGGCAGAGACGAUUGGAUAGUUAGAAUGAUUACGUAGGGGAGAGACGAUUGGAUGAUAAGAAUGAUGACGUUAGGCAGAGACGAUUGGAUGAUAAAAAUGAUGACGUAGGGGAGAGACGAUUGGAUGAUAAGAAUGAUGACGUAAAACAGAGACGAUUGGGUGGUAAGAAUGAUGACGUAGGGGAGAGACGAUUGGAUGAUAAAAAUGAUGACGUAAGGCAGAGACGAUUGGAUGGCAAGAAUGAUUACGUAGGACAGAGAUGAUUGGAUGGUUAGAAUGAUUACGUCGGACAGAGAUGAUUGGAUGGUUAGAAUGAUGACGUAGGACAGGGACGAUUGGAUAAUAAGAAUUAUGACGUAGAACAGAGAUGAUUGGAUGGUAAGAAUGGUGACGUAGGACAGAGACGAGGAUGGUAAAAAUUAUGACGUAGAGCAGAGAUAAUUGGGUAGUAAGAAUGAUGACGUAGGCAGAGAUGAUUGGAUGAUACGAAUCAUGACGUAGGACAGGGGUGUUUGAAUGGUUAGAAUUAUGAUGUAGGACAGAGAUGAUCGGAAUGUGCAAGUAACUUAUUAAUUAUAUAAUGCAAUUAUAUCAAACCGAGAGUCUUGAUCUUGCGAUAAUUGGUCGUAUGUUCGUUGAUAAGAUAGUCCCAUAGUUGUUGGUAUAUAUGCAUGUGUAUUAGUCACUACAUAAAUUCAUAUUGUUUAUAUAAUUUGUUAAAAUAUACACUCAUUGUUUUUGUUUCCGUCACCCUGGCAUUGUAUUAUUGAAUGAUCCCCGUAUAAUAUAAUAGUUCUUUAAUAAUUGUUUAAAGCAUUUACACGUAGUCUAAUAGUUCGUGUCUUUCUCUCUCUAUUUUUCAUGAGAUAGUAGACUGCAACUAAUGAUUGAUAUAUUAAAUAACAAUAUAAAGACAUGUCAAUAAAAUUA